This 253-nucleotide ribosomal RNA is filed under the name uncultured bacterium. RNAcentral describes it as "partial 16S ribosomal RNA". It matches the Rfam family "Bacterial small subunit ribosomal RNA", at positions 524 to 776 of the family's 1533-position model. The record is from RNAcentral.
GACGAACCUGACAAACGUUAUUCGGAAUUACUGGGCUUAAAGGGUGCGUAGGCGGCGCGGUAAGUCGGGUGUGAAAUCUCGGAGCUUAACUCCGAAACUGCAUUCGAUACUGCCGUGCUUGAGGACUGGAGAGGAGACUGGAAUUUACGGUGUAGCGGUGAAAUGCGUAGAUAUCGUAAGGAAGACCAGUGGCGAAGGCGGGUCUCUGGACAGUUCCUGACGCUGAGGCACGAAGGUCAGGGGAGCAAACGGG